This 411-nucleotide long non-coding RNA is filed under the name Sciurus vulgaris (Eurasian red squirrel). RNAcentral's name for it is "lncRNA (ENSSVLG00005011170.1)". The record is from RNAcentral. Lineage: Eukaryota; Metazoa; Chordata; Mammalia; Rodentia; Sciuridae.
CCUGGAAUGGAAACUUCUCAUUUCCCAUCAGCAUCAGUGCCGAUCUGGCUCCUGUGGCUAUCCUUUUUGUCUACACCCUUCACCCCAGUGGAGAAAUCGUGGCCGAUAGUGUCAAGUUCCAGAUUGAGAAAUGUUUUAAAAACAAGGUUAGCAUCAAGUUCUCUAAGGAGCGGGGGCUUCCUGGCUCCAAUGCCAGUCUCUAUCUUCAAGCAGCCCCUGACUCAUUCUGUGCCCUUGGGGCUGUGGAUAAAAGUGUCCUCCUGCUAAAAUCAGAACAACAGCUGUCAGCUGAAAGUGUGUACAACCUGCUUCCAAAUGUGGAACCAUAUGGUUAUUUCUACCAAGGUCUCGACCUAGAUGAUGGCAAGGUAGACCCCUGCAUUCCUCAGAAGGAUAUGUUCUAUAAUGGUU